CCUACGGGAGGUAGCAGUAAGGAAUAUUGGUCAAUGGACGCAAGUCUGAACCAGCCAUGCCGCGUGGAGGAUGAAGGUCCUCUGGAUUGUAAACUUCUUUUAUUUGGGAAGAAACCCACGAUUUCUAUUGUGGUUGACGGUACCAGAUGAAUAAGCACCGGCUAACUCCGUGCCAGCAGCCGCGGUAAUACGGAGGGUGCAAGCGUUAUCCGGAUUCACUGGGUUUAAAGGGUGCGUAGGCGGGCAGGUAAGUCAGUGGUGAAAUCUCCGAGCUUAACUUGGAAACUGCCGUUGAUACUAUCUGUCUUGAAUGCUGUGGAGGUAAGCGGAAUAUGUCAUGUAGCGGUGAAAUGCUUAGAUAUGACAUAGAACACCUAUUGCGAAGGCAGCUUGCUACACAGAAAUUGACGCUGAGGCACGAAAGCGUGGGGAUCAAACAGGAUUAGAUACCCUGGUAGUCCACGCCCUAAACGAUGGAUACUCGACAUCAGCGAUACACAGUGUAGUGUGUGAGACGAAAGACGAGUUAAGUUAAGUACCGUACCGUUACGGGAAGGUAACGACCGGACGAAGGUUAGUUAACGUUAAAGGUAAGUUAGACGGACGUUGAGACGAGCGACGGACGACGACGAGGGAGGAGGAG
This 643-nucleotide ribosomal RNA is filed under the name uncultured bacterium. RNAcentral's name for it is "bacterial SSU rRNA". The stretch from base 1 to 545 matches the Rfam family "Bacterial small subunit ribosomal RNA", at positions 338 to 873 of the family's 1533-position model. The record is from RNAcentral.